This 950-nucleotide ribosomal RNA is filed under the name Argentina striata (striated argentine). RNAcentral describes it as "12S ribosomal RNA". It matches the Rfam family "Bacterial small subunit ribosomal RNA". Lineage: Eukaryota; Metazoa; Chordata; Actinopteri; Argentiniformes; Argentinidae. The record is from RNAcentral.
CAAAGGCUUGGUCCUGACUUUACUAUCAGCUUUCGCCAAAUCUACACAUGCAAGUCUCCGCAUCCCCGUGAGAAUGCCCUUAAUCCCCCGUCCGGGGAUGAGGAGCUGGCAUCAGGUGCGCUUCGGCAGCCCAUAACGCCUUGCUAAGCCACACCCCCAAGGGAACUCAGCAGUGAUAAACAUUAAGCUAUAAGCGCAAGCUUGACUUAGUUAAGGUGAACAGGGUCGGUAAAACUCGUGCCAGCCACCGCGGUUAUACGAGAGACUCAAGUUGAUGGCUAUCGGCGUAAAGAGUGGUUAAGGAAUUUUUAAAAUAAAGCCGAAUACCCCCUAGGCUGUUAUACGCACCUGGGGGCACGAAGCCCUCCCACGAAAGUGGCUUUACCCCCCCCCCCCCGAACCCACGACAGCUAUGCUACAAACUGGGAUUAGAUACCCCACUAUGCUUAGCCGUAAACUUUGAUAAAAAAUUACAAUUAAUAUCCGCCAGGGAACUACGAGCGCCAGCUUAAAACCCAAAGGACUUGGCGGUGCCCCAGACCCACCUAGAGGAGCCUGUUCUAGAACCGAUACCCCCCGUUCAACCUCACCACCCCUUGUCAACCCCGCCUAUAUACCGCCGUCGUCAGCUUACCCUGUGAAGGCCCUAUAGUAAGCAGAAAGGAUAUAACCCAAAACGUCAGGUCGAGGUGUAGCGUAUGGGGUGGGAAGAAAUGGGCUACAUUCUCUAAUUUUAGAGUAGACGAAUGAUACUGUGAAACCAGAAUCUGAAGGCGGAUUUAGCAGUAAGUAGAAAAUAGAGUAUUCUCUUGAAACUGGCUCUGAGGCGCGCACACACCGCCCGUCACUCUCCCCGGGUUCACUUUCUCCAAGUAAAUAAGAAAACAACCGAACUAAGGGGAGGCAAGUCGUAACAUGGUAAGUGUACCGGAAGGUGCACUUGGAACAAC